This 448-nucleotide ribosomal RNA is filed under the name uncultured bacterium. RNAcentral's name for it is "bacterial SSU rRNA". It matches the Rfam family "Bacterial small subunit ribosomal RNA", at positions 329 to 793 of the family's 1533-position model. The record is from RNAcentral.
ACCCAGACUCCUACGGGAGGCAGCAGUGGGGAAUAUUGCACAAUGGGGGAAACCCUGAUGCAGCGACGCCGCGUGAGUGAAGAAGUAAUUCGUUAUGUAAAGCUCUAUCAGCAGGGAAGAAAAUGACGGUACCUGAGUAAGAAGCCCCGGCUAACUACGUGCCAGCAGCCGCGGUAAUACGUAGGGGGCAAGCGUUAUCCGGAUUUACUGGGUGUAAAGGGAGCGUAGACGGCACUGCAAGUCCGGAGUGAAAGCCCAAGGCUUAACCAUGGGACUGCUCUGGAAACUGUGGAGCUUGAGUGCGGGAGGGGCAGGCGGAAUUCCUAGUGUAGCGGUGAAAUGCGUAGAUAUUAGGAGGAACACCAGUGGCGAAGGCGGCUUACUGGACUGUAACUGACGUUGAGGCUCGAAAGCGUGGGGAGCAAACAGGAUUAGAUACCCUCGUAUG